RNAcentral lists this ribosomal RNA (462 nucleotides) under uncultured bacterium. RNAcentral's name for it is "partial 16S ribosomal RNA". It matches the Rfam family "Bacterial small subunit ribosomal RNA", at positions 28 to 507 of the family's 1533-position model. The record is from RNAcentral.
GACGAACGCUGGCGGCGUGCUUAACACAUGCAAGUCGAGCGGAAAGGCCCUUCGGGGUACUCGAGCGGCGAACGGGUGAGUAACACGUGUGUAACCUGCCCCAGACUUUGGGAUAACCCUCGGAAACGGGGGCUAAUACCGGAUACGACACAGCUUCGCAUGGGGUCUGUGUGGAAAGUUUUUCGGUUUGGGAUGGGCUCGCGGCCUAUCAGCUUGUUGGUGGGGUGAUGGCCUACCAAGGCGACGACGGGUAGCCGGCCUGAGAGGGCGACCGGCCACACUGGGACUGAGACACGGCCCAGACUCCUACGGGAGGCAGCAGUGGGGAAUAUUGCACAAUGGGCGGAAGCCUGAUGCAGCGACGCCGCGUGAGGGAUGACGGCCUUCGGGUUGUAAACCUCUUUCAGCAGGGACGAAGCGUAAGUGACGGUACCUGCAGAAGAAGCGCCGGCCAACUACGUG